ACCUCUAGCAUUCCCAGUAUUAGAGGCACUGCCUGCCCAGUGACAUCAGUUAAACGGCCGCGGUAUCCUGACCGUGCAAAGGUAGCAUAAUCAUUUGUUCCCUAAAUAGGGACUUGUAUGAAUGGCCACACGAGGGCUUUACUGUCUCUUACUUCCGAUCCGUGAAAUUGACCUUCCCGUGAAGAGGCGGGAAUAUAACAAUAAGACGAGAAGACCCUAUGGAGCUUUAAUUAACCGACCCAAAGAGAUCUUAACAACUAACCGAUAGGGACAACAAACCUCUACCAUGGGUCGACAAUUUAGGUUGGGGUGACCUCGGAGAAUAAAACAACCUCCGAGUGAUUUAAAUCUAGACUAACCAGUCGAAAGUACUACAUCACUUAUUGAUCCAAAAACUUGAUCAACGGAACAAGUUACCCUAGGGAUAACAGCGCAAUCCUAUUUUAGAGUCCAUAUCGACAAUAGGGUUUACGACCUCGAUGUUGGAUCAGGACAUCCCGAUGGUGCAGCAGCUAUCAAA
Molecule: ribosomal RNA, 520 nt
Filed under: Panthera pardus (leopard)
Lineage: Eukaryota; Metazoa; Chordata; Mammalia; Carnivora; Felidae
Description: partial 16S ribosomal RNA
Rfam family: Bacterial large subunit ribosomal RNA
Source: RNAcentral